RNAcentral lists this ribosomal RNA (531 nucleotides) under uncultured Acidobacteriota bacterium. RNAcentral describes it as "bacterial SSU rRNA". It matches the Rfam family "Bacterial small subunit ribosomal RNA", at positions 8 to 518 of the family's 1533-position model. Lineage: Bacteria; Pseudomonadati; Acidobacteriota. The record is from RNAcentral.
AGAGUUUGAUCGUGGCUCAGAAUCAACGCUGGCGGCGUGCCUAACACAUGCAAGUCGAACGCGAAAGGGGAGCAAUCCCUGAGUAGAGUGGCGAACGGGUGAGUAACACGUGGGUGACCUGCCUUCGAGUGGGGGAUAACGUCCCGAAAGGGACGCUAAUACCGCAUGACAUCCUGCCUUUGAAGAGGCGGUGAUUAAAGCUGGGGAUCGCAAGACCUGGCGCUUGAAGAGGGGCUCGCGUCCGAUUAGCUAGUUGGUGGGGUAAUGGCCUACCAAGGCGACGAUCGGUAGCCGGCCUGAGAGGGCGGACGGCCACACUGGGACUGAGACACGGCCCAGACUCCUACGGGAGGCAGCAGUGGGGAAUUGUUCGCAAUGGGCGAAAGCCUGACGACGCAACGCCGCGUGGAGGAUGAAGAUUUUCGGAUCGUAAACUCCUUUCGAUCGGGACGAAUCGGUCGCGACCUAACACGUCGUGGCACUGACGGUACCGAGAGAAGAAGCCCCGGCUAACUCCGUGCCAGCAGCCGC